CUGGGGAGAUCCUCCCAUUCAGAGGAUCAUCUCACAGAGGCCUUUGAUGUGCAUUGUGGGUGUGAGAUUUGGAGACGGAAAUGAUAAAAUC
This 91-nucleotide long non-coding RNA is filed under the name Canis lupus familiaris (dog). Its description in RNAcentral is "lncRNA (ENSCAFG00040011935.1)". Lineage: Eukaryota; Metazoa; Chordata; Mammalia; Carnivora; Canidae. The record is from RNAcentral.